CAGCAGCGCCCGGGGUAUUCCAAAUCUGUUUAAAAAACACACGAUUUGCUCUGGACGCCCGGCCAGCAUGGCCAAUACUGAAAGUUACUGACGCGCGGCAUCUCCCCCCAAGUGCCCCGUCAGCCGAGGUACCGUGGACCGCGUACCUUGAUUUACUCCUAAUGGUCUUGACCCGGAUUCAUCCCCCAGAGUCCGG
RNAcentral lists this small RNA (196 nucleotides) under Pseudomonas sp. THAF187a. RNAcentral describes it as "RgsA sRNA". It matches the Rfam family "RgsA sRNA". Rfam says of the family: P16 sRNA appears to be conserved across several Pseudomonas species and Azotobacter vinelandii. The record is from Rfam by way of RNAcentral. Lineage: Bacteria; Pseudomonadati; Pseudomonadota; Gammaproteobacteria; Pseudomonadales; Pseudomonadaceae.